Molecule: long non-coding RNA, 285 nt
Organism: Herpailurus yagouaroundi (jaguarundi)
Lineage: Eukaryota; Metazoa; Chordata; Mammalia; Carnivora; Felidae
Exons: 2
Source: RefSeq, a predicted model, not a curated record
CGGAAUCCUCAUUUUAAAGACCUGUAGCAAGGAAAUGUUGAAGGAACCUUGGGGAUAAUACCUUGAAUUCAAUCCCCUGAUUUUACAGCUUUUAAGUGGAAGUACAUUUCCCACAAGGAAGAGGAAGUUUUAGGUGGCAAAACACAGUUUCACAAAGAGCCUUCAUGUCAAGAAUUCGAUUGUGAAAUAGCUUGCUUGCCACAAUUGUUGUUGUUGUUAUUUGUUUUUUCUUAAGACAAUGACUAUUUCUUUAAUAAUAGAUAAAUAAAACAAACAUGUACUGGC